CGGGGCGUGGCGGAAUGGUAGACGCGACGGAUUCAAAAUCCGUUUCAGCAAUGAGUGCCGGUUCGAGUCCGGCCGCCCCUACCA
This 84-nucleotide transfer RNA is filed under the name Paracoccus marcusii. RNAcentral describes it as "tRNA-Leu". It matches the Rfam family "tRNA". Rfam says of the family: Transfer RNA (tRNA) molecules are approximately 80 nucleotides in length. Their secondary structure includes four short double-helical elements and three loops (D, anti-codon, and T loops). Further hydrogen bonds mediate the characteristic L-shaped molecular structure. tRNAs have two regions of fundamental functional importance: the anti-codon, which is responsible for specific mRNA codon recognition, and the 3' end, to which the tRNAs corresponding amino acid is attached (by aminoacyl-tRNA synthetases). tRNAs cope with the degeneracy of the genetic code in two manners: having more than one tRNA (with a specific anti-codon) for a particular amino acid; and 'wobble' base-pairing, i.e. permitting non-standard base-pairing at the 3rd anti-codon position. Lineage: Bacteria; Pseudomonadati; Pseudomonadota; Alphaproteobacteria; Rhodobacterales; Paracoccaceae. The record is from RNAcentral.